AGGGUUCGACUCCGGAGAAAAUGCCUGAGAAACGGCGUUUACAUCCAAGGAAGGCAGCAGGCGCGAAAAUUACCCACUCUCAGUACGAGGAGGUAGUGACGAGAAAUGACAAGAUCUAGUCCUUCGGGGCUGGAUCAUUGGAAUGGUUUGAUUUUAAAACCAUUAAAGAGUAUCAAUGAGAGGGCAAGUCUGGUGCCAGCAGCCGCGGUAAUUCCAGCUCUCAUACUGCAUUGAAUUGUUGUUGCGGUUAAAAAGCUCGUAGUUGGAUCUCUACACGAUAGGAUGGUUCACUCUUUGAGUUGUAACUAUUACUAAGUGUUGUUUAUCAGAUUUAUAUUUCGUAAGAAAUAUUGUCUGAUGAGUUUACUUUGAAUAAAUCAGAGUGCUCAAAACAGGCGUAAGCUUGUAUGGUUUUGC
Molecule: ribosomal RNA, 417 nt
Filed under: Panagrolaimus sp. ex Grus americana W112
Lineage: Eukaryota; Metazoa; Nematoda; Chromadorea; Rhabditida; Panagrolaimidae
Description: bacterial SSU rRNA
Rfam family: Eukaryotic small subunit ribosomal RNA
Source: RNAcentral